GGUCUUGUGGUCUAGUGGUAUGAUUGUAUGUAUAAACCGAUCUGGAUCUGAAGAUGUGAAAACUAAUGAUGUACAGCUCGCUUAGGGUAAACCCAAGCACAGCUUGCGAGAGGCCCCGCGUUCGAGUCGCGGCAAGACCC
Molecule: non-coding RNA, 140 nt
Organism: Phaeosphaeria sp. MPI-PUGE-AT-0046c
Lineage: Eukaryota; Fungi; Ascomycota; Dothideomycetes; Pleosporales; Phaeosphaeriaceae
Source: the annotation of a GenBank genome assembly